UACGUAGGGACCAAGCGUUGUUCGGAUUUACUGGGCGUAAAGGGCGCGUAGGCGGCAAUUCAAGUCAUCUGUGAAAUCUCCGGGCUUAACCCGGAACGGUCAGAUGAUACUGCUUUGCUAGAGUGCGGAAGGGGCAAUCGGAAUUCUCGGUGUAGCGGUGAAAUGCGUAGAUAUCGGGAGGAACACCGGUGGCGAAGGCGGUUCUCUGGGCCGACACUGACGCUGAGGAGCGAAAGCGUGGGGAGCGAACAGG
This 253-nucleotide ribosomal RNA is filed under the name uncultured bacterium. RNAcentral describes it as "partial 16S ribosomal RNA". It matches the Rfam family "Bacterial small subunit ribosomal RNA", at positions 524 to 776 of the family's 1533-position model. The record is from RNAcentral.